GACGAACGCUGGCGGCGUGCCUAACACAUGCAAGUCGAGCGAUGAAGUUUCCUUCGGGAAACGGAUUAGCGGCGGACGGGUGAGUAACACGUGGGUAACCUGCCUCAUAGAGGGGAAUAGCCUUUCGAAAGGAAGAUUAAUACCGCAUAAGAUUGUAGUAUCGCAUGGUACAGCAAUUAAAAGAGCAAUCUGCUAUGAGAUGGACCCGCGGCGCAUUAGCUAGCUGGUGAGGUAACGGCUCACCAAGGCGACGAUGCGUAGCCGACCUGAGAGGGUGAUCGGCCACAUUGGGACUGAGACACGGCCCAGACUCCUACGGGAGGCAGCAGUGGGGAAUAUUGCACAAUGGGGGAAACCCUGAUGCAGCAACGCCGCGUGAGUGAUGACGGCCUUCGGGUUGUAAAGCUCUGUCUUCAGGGACGAUAAUGACGGUACCUGAGGAGGAAGCCACGGCUAACUACGUG
RNAcentral lists this ribosomal RNA (464 nucleotides) under uncultured bacterium. RNAcentral describes it as "bacterial SSU rRNA". It matches the Rfam family "Bacterial small subunit ribosomal RNA", at positions 28 to 507 of the family's 1533-position model. The record is from RNAcentral.